AUUCUUCGGAUGAUUUCCUUUGUGACUGAGCGGCGGACGGGUGAGUAACGCGUGGGUAACCUGCCUCAUACAGGGGGAUAACAGUUGGAAACGACUGCUAAUACCGCAUAAGCGCACAGGAUCGCAUGAUCCGGUGUGAAAAACUCCGGUGGUACAGGAUGGACCCGCGUCUGAUUAGCUGGUUGGUGAGGUAACGGCCCACCAAGGCAACGAUCAGUAGCCGGCCUGAGAGGGUGAACGGCCACACUGGAACUGAGACACGGUCCAGACUCC
Molecule: ribosomal RNA, 273 nt
Filed under: uncultured Lachnospiraceae bacterium
Lineage: Bacteria; Bacillati; Bacillota; Clostridia; Lachnospirales; Lachnospiraceae
Description: partial 16S ribosomal RNA
Rfam family: Bacterial small subunit ribosomal RNA
Source: RNAcentral